GAUGAAAUUGAGUAGGGCGGGGCACGUGAAACCCUGUCUGAACAUGGGGGGACCAUCCUCCAAGGCUAAAUACUCCUGACCGACCGAUAGUGAACCAGUACCGUGAGGGAAAGGCGAAAAGAACCCUGGUGAAGGGAGUGAAAUAGAUCCUGAAACCGUGUGCGUACAAGCAGUCGGAGCCCUUCGGGGUGACGGCGUACCUUUUGUAUAAUGGGUCAGCGACUUACUGUUCGUGGCGAGCUUAACCGUAUAGGGGAGGCGAAGGGAAACCGAGUCUGAUAAGGGCGCAUAGUCGCGGGCAGUAGACCCGAAACCGGGUGAUCUAGUCAUGGCCAGGGUGAAGGUUGAGUAACAUCAACUGGAGGCCCGAACCCACGUCUGUUGCAAAAGACGGGGAUGAGCUGUGAUUAGGAGUGAAAAGCUAAUCGAACCCGGAGAUAGCUGGUUCUCCUCGAAAGCUAUUUAGGUAGCGCCUCGUAUGUAUCCUCUCGGGGGUAGAGCACUGUUAUGGCUAGGGGGUCAUUGCGACUUACCAAACCAUUGCAAACUCCGAAUACCGAGACGGACUGUACGGGAGACACACGGCGGGUGCUAACGUCCGUCGUGAAAAGGGAAACAACCCAGACCCACAGCUAAGGUCCCAAAUUACUGCUAAGUGGAAAACCAUGUGGAAAGGCACAGACAGCCAGGAGGUUGGCUUAGAAGCAGCCACCCUUUAAAGAAAGCGUAAUAGCUCACUGGUCGAGUCGGUCUGCGGGGAAGAUUUAACGGGGCUAAGCAGUAAACCGAAGCUUGGGGUGUGCAUCUUUGAUGUACGCGGUAGAGGAGCGUUCCGUAGGCCUGCGAAGGUGGAUUGAGAAGUCUGCUGGAGGUAUCGGAAGUGCGAAUGCUGACAUGAGUAACGAUAAUGCGGGUGAAAAGCCCGCACGCCGAAAGCCCAAGGUUUCCUUGCGCAACGUUAAUCGACGCAGGGUGAGUCGGCCCCUAAGGCGAGGCAGAAAUGCGUAGUCGAUGGGAAGCUGGUUAAUAUUCCAGCACCUCGCGUAAGUGCGAUGGGAGGACGGAGAAGGUUAGGUGAGCCGGGCGUUGGUUGUCCCGGUGAGAGGACUGAGGUGGUGCCCUUAGGCAAAUCCGGGGGUGCAACAUUGAGGUCAAGGACGAGUCCAAUGGGACUAAGUCACCGAUAUCACGCUUCCAGGAAAAGUCCCUAAGCUUCAGCUUACGCAGACCGUACCGUAAACCGACACAGGUGGGCAGGAUGAGAAUUCUCAGGCGCUUGAGAGAACUCGGGUGAAGGAACUAGGCAAAAUAGCACCGUAACUUCGGGAGAAGGUGCGCCAACCAUGGUUAAUAGCUGAGGUUGGCCGAAGUGACCAGGCCGCUGCGACUGUUUAUCAAAAACACAGCACUCUGCAAACACGAAAGUGGACGUAUAGGGUGUGACGCCUGCCCGGUGCCGGAAGGUUAAUUGAUGGGGUCAGCCGCAAGGCGAAGCUCUUGAUCGAAGCCCCGGUAAACGGCGGCCGUAACUAUAACGGUCCUAAGGUAGCGAAAUUCCU
This 1559-nucleotide ribosomal RNA is filed under the name Pseudomonadota bacterium. RNAcentral's name for it is "Bacterial large subunit ribosomal RNA". It matches the Rfam family "Bacterial large subunit ribosomal RNA", at positions 401 to 1969 of the family's 2925-position model. The record is from Rfam by way of RNAcentral. Lineage: Bacteria; Pseudomonadati; Pseudomonadota.